GCUGUAGUAAGCUAUUGUGAACGGUCUUUUUCAAAUUUUCGUGUAUUUUAUAUGCACGAAAUGUAUCUCUCUAUAUACUGAUCCAUGCUGAAUGCUUGAACUGCUGAUGUGGCCUUGGGAUGGAAACUUUUCUCUGACCCUGGAAGAUCUUGGUUAUGCAAAAGAGGACAACGGAAGGAUUGCAGCUUUAUCUCUUCCUCUCUGGCAGUACACUGGGUAGCUGUUAGCACUGUUCUGUGGUGCUUCCUUCCAGGCAUACUGCAGGGCGUGGGAUCUUUGUGGAUGUGCCCAGUCGCUGGAGUAUUUUGCUUAAUGCUGUUUUGUAGUGUGAUCAUCUUCCGUCUUGAUGGCAGCAUUACAAACCAUGACUGUAGCUUCUGUGCCUCUCGGUCUGACAGCAAUGCAAGCUUUCUCCGAGCUGCCAGAGCUGGCAAUUUGGACAAAGUAGUGGAAUACCUGAAAAGUGGAAUAGACAUUAAUACAUGUAAUCAGGUAAGAUAAUUGAAGGGCAAAACUACAAGAGCAAAAUGUAAGUCAUACCCUCUUCACCGAACUAGAAUUUUCAGGUUAGAU
RNAcentral lists this long non-coding RNA (573 nucleotides) under Pavo cristatus (Indian peafowl). Its description in RNAcentral is "lncRNA (ENSPSTG00000002855.1)". The record is from RNAcentral. Lineage: Eukaryota; Metazoa; Chordata; Aves; Galliformes; Phasianidae.